The sequence is a transfer RNA, 77 nucleotides long. It matches the Rfam family "tRNA". Rfam says of the family: Transfer RNA (tRNA) molecules are approximately 80 nucleotides in length. Their secondary structure includes four short double-helical elements and three loops (D, anti-codon, and T loops).
GGGCCUGUAGCUCAGCAAGGUAGAGCGGUGGACAUAGGACCCAUUGGUCGAGGGUUCAAAUCCCUCCAGGCCCGCCA